GUAAUAUCAAUUGAAGAUAAGAAACUAAUAUUGUGUUCGGGUUCAUAUUUCUUAUUGUCUUCUUAACGUUUUCUAUUAUUUAAUAUAGAAGAAGAUGAGAAGAAUACUGUCAAAGUCUUACCGUUCCCCUUUUCAUUUCUAGGAGUCUCUCUUGACUCUAGCAAUUCCACUAUUUCUUUCUUGGAAUCAUUUUCAUUGUUGUAUGGGAAGAGUAUAUCUAUUUUGGCAUUAAAGAUCUGCUUCUUUCCUUUAAUCGUCUCUUGCUUCUCCUGUAGUCUAUGCUGUCACAGGCUUCCCACUUGUCUCUAUGUCACUACCAAUCACUUUGUUUCAAGACUGAGACAUGGAUGCAUACCCUUCUUUUUUCAUUUCAAUGCCUUGGAGUCAUCUAUGGUCAAUUAAGUUCAGCUCCUCUAUAUGUGUUUGGGACAGUUCAUCAAAAAGAGUUUGUACAGAUGAGACAACUUAUGGCCUUUUUUCCUUUAUUUUCUGGACUAUGACCAUCAUUUCUUUGCUGAAAUAUGCCCUUUUAGUAUAGAGAGCUGAUGAUGAUGGAGAAGGUGGUACUUUUGCUUUGUACUCAAUCUUAUGCAGGCAUGCCAAAGUGGGUUUGCUCCCAAGUGACACAAGUGCAAAGGAAGUUAUGCAGUAUGAGGAAGAAAGUCCUUUUAAGACCAAGGUGGAAUCCAGGGCAAGAAGAGCCAUUGCCAAACACAAAAGCAGCCAUUAUCUGAUGUUGUUCUUGGCUUUGUUCGGUGCCUGCAUGGCAAUUAGCGAUGGAGUUCUUACUCCUUCUCUUUCUGUGUUAUCAGCUUCAACAGGUUUUGGAAGAACAUUGGCUUCAAUCAAAUUUUCACAUUCAGAACAUAUACAGGAGAGAAUCUCAAAAGCUUUAAAAGAAUGGGAUUUUCAAAGUAUAUGAUUUCGGGAAAUGAAUUGGCCUAUGUAUAGCCACUGCCCUUUUACAAAAUUUAACAUCAAAGCAUUGUUGCAGCUUUGUUUUCAGCUUCUGGAAUGCGUCUUAGAAUGCUAUCCCAAUGAGGUUGCUUCCUUGAUGAACUCCUUCUAUAUGGAAUCUGUGAAGCUGUUGAUGGAGAGAAGGAUCCUCAUUGCUUGUUGCUAGCAUUUGACAUCAUUCAUGCACUGAUUCAACUAUUUCUAGAUCCUAAUGGGCCGCUAGAAAAUUUUUCUGGAGAGCUUUUUGAAACUUUGAGCAGUUACUUUCCCAUUCAUUUUACUCAUCCAAAAGGAGAGAACACUGAUGUCAAAAGAGAUGAUCUUGCAAGGGCUCUAAUGGUAGCUUUCUAAUAAACACCUCUUCUUGAGCCAUAUGUCAUUCCCUUGCUUCUUGAAAAACUCUCUUCUUCUCUGCCAUCAUCAAAGGUUGAUUCUUUGAAGUAUCUGAGCUAUUGCUCAUUGAAGUAUGGAGCAGACAGGAUGGCCAAACAUGCUGGAGCUAUUUGGAGUUCAAUUAAAAGUGAAAUAAGUACUUCAGUAAAAGAGCCUACUGAAGGUGUUACAUCAGAAUCAAUAAAUGGUCUUGGGUUUCAGGAAAAUGAAAUUGCAGCAGAAUCUUUAGUGGAUAUUUACUUUAGAGCAUUGUUUUGCAGUAAAGAGCUUGCAGAUUUUGGCUACAUUUCCCGAAGGUCAUUUACCGAUAUCAAAAAGUAUAUUCGAGAAUAUUUUGACAUCACUUGUGUCAAUUAUCCUGGUGGAUUUCAAACAGAUGCUGUUUUGGAAGCUUGCCGUGAAGGCAUUAGUUCAUAUUGGCUCUUUCAUCAGUAAAUGUAAUGAGUUGGAGAAGGCACUGAGCUAUACAAGUAUUGUUGUUGAAAAAAUUGUUUCAUCACUGUCUAGUGAUAAAUUUACCCUGCCUUUUCUACUCAAACUGGAAGUGGUAUCUGAAUUAGGUGCAAGUGGACAGAAUCAUAUGCUGAUGAUUGUUCAAGGGUUGGAAGGGGCUAUAUUUGCUAACCUUGAUGAUUUUUUAGUCCAUGGGAAUAAAAAGUCUGCUGAAUUAGCAAUUCAACUUCUGCAAUGCUAUUCUGAAAAGGUUAUUCCGUGGUAUGUAUUCAGUCUAAUGUUCCAUGAUAUUAGUAGAUUGCAGUGUAUGUGUGACAUACACUUGCUCUUGUCCCAGUGUAUGUGUGACACCAAGGCUCCGUUUACUAAUUUAAAUGAAAAUAAUUAGAAAAAAAAGAUUGUUUACAGUUAUUUCAAUGAUUAUUUUUCCUUUUCUGCUAGGAUUGUUCUUUUUAUUUCACGAGUUUAAAUAAAAGCUGUUGUUCUCUUUAAAAAAAUGUCAUGUUUACAGAGGAUAAUUGUUGAUCUUAUGGCUGUAGCAGAGUGAUUUCUUUUGCAUUUUCAAUUCUUUAAGAUGACUCUGCACUCAUCAAGCAGACUUCUAGAAUAGUAACCUUGUAUGCAAAUGGAAUCUCAUAUGUUGUUUCUUGUAACUCAAUUUUUCCAGACAUAUGUUGUCUUGCUUUGCAAUAGUAAAGGUAUUCUUAAGGGAACAGGCUUCUUAAGACACUAUGUUCUGUCUUGCUAAUGACAUAUAUGUCUCAAAAAAAAUUUCUGCUCAUAUUUACAACUUUUGCUUAAUAUAUUCUACAUAUAUUUAUAUGUGUAUAUAAUCUUUUGGGUUAAUAGCUGGAACUAGAAAUUAAUAAAAACUAGCCUGGUUCUGAAAAAUGAGUAGCAGAUCACUCUAUUAAUCAUAGACCAAUAAGGACUCUACUCCUAGCAAAACCUCUAGGACUGGCACUGUUUUUGUAGCUUGAUCUAAUC
Molecule: RNA transcript, 2790 nt
Organism: Humulus lupulus (European hop)
Lineage: Eukaryota; Viridiplantae; Streptophyta; Magnoliopsida; Rosales; Cannabaceae
Gene name: MMS19 nucleotide excision repair protein homolog
Exons: 13
Source: RefSeq, a predicted model, not a curated record